AAAUUGAAGAGUUUGAUCAUGGCUCAGAUUGAACGCUGGCGGCAGGCCUAACACAUGCAAGUCGAACGGUAACAGGAAGCAGCUUGCUGCUUCGCUGACGAGUGGCGGACGGGUGAGUAAUGUCUGGGAAACUGCCUGAUGGAGGGGGAUAACUACUGGAAACGGUGGCUAAUACCGCAUAACGUCGCAAGACCAAAGAGGGGGACCUUCGGGCCUAUUGCCAUCAGAUGUGCCCAGAUGGGAUUAGCU
RNAcentral lists this ribosomal RNA (249 nucleotides) under Salmonella enterica subsp. enterica serovar Emek. Its description in RNAcentral is "partial 16S ribosomal RNA". It matches the Rfam family "Bacterial small subunit ribosomal RNA", at positions 1 to 246 of the family's 1533-position model. Lineage: Bacteria; Pseudomonadati; Pseudomonadota; Gammaproteobacteria; Enterobacterales; Enterobacteriaceae. The record is from RNAcentral.